RNAcentral lists this small RNA (2325 nucleotides) under Pan troglodytes (chimpanzee). RNAcentral's name for it is "processed transcript". The record is from RNAcentral. Lineage: Eukaryota; Metazoa; Chordata; Mammalia; Primates; Hominidae.
GUUUUUGAAUCUGCGGAGGCGGAGGCGGCGGCGGUGGCGGCGGCGGUGGCGGCGGUGGCAGCGGCGGCGCGGCGACUGAAGCGCGCGAAAAGCUGAGGCGGCAACGUCGGGGACGACUGCGCGGGACGGCUCUGUAGGAAGGAACUUGGUUCCCCCUCCCUCAGCUUCCGCCCCAAAAGAUUCAGAAUGGACAGUUUAGAAGAACCUCAGAAAAAAGUCUUUAAGGCUCGAAAAACGAUGAGAGUGAGUGAUCGUCAGCAACUUGAAGCAGUGUACAAGGUCAAAGAAGAACUGUUGAAAACUGAUGUCAAGCUGUUAAAUGGCAACCAUGAAAAUGGAGAUUUGGACCCAACCUCACCUUUGGAAAACAUGGAUUACAUUAAAGACAAGGAAGAGGUGAAUGGCAUUGAAGAGAUUUGUUUUGAUCCUGAAGGAAGUAAAGCAGAAUGGAAGGAAACACCCUGUAUCCUAAGUGUUAAUGUAAAAAACAAGCAGGAUGAUGAUUUAAAUUGUGAACCUUUGUCUCCCCAUAAUAUAACUCCAGAACCAGUCUCUAAACUGCCUGCUGAACCAGUUUCUGGUGAUCCAGCCCCUGGUGAUCUGGAUGCCGGAGAUCCAGCCUCCGGAGUACUGGCCUCUGGUGAUUCCACCUCUGGUGAUCCCACCUCUAGCGAGCCCUCCUCUAGUGAUGCUGCCUCUGGUGAUGCAACCUCUGGUGAUGCCCCUUCUGGUGAUGUGUCCCCUGGUGAUGCCACCUCUGGUGAUGCCACUGCUGAUGAUCUCUCCUCUGGUGAUCCCACCUCUAGUGAUCCCAUCCCAGGUGAACCGGUCCCUGUUGAACCCAUUUCUGGUGAUUGUGCCGCUGAUGAUAUAGCCUCUAGUGAAAUAACUUCUGUUGAUCUGGCUUCUGGAGCACCAGCUUCCACUGAUCCAGCCUCUGAUGAUCUGGCCUCUGGUGAUCUAUCCUCUAGUGAACUGGCCUCUGAUGAUCUGGCCACUGGUGAACUGGCCUCUGAUGAGCUGACUUCUGAAUCAACCUUUGAUCGUACCUUUGAACCAAAGUCUGUACCACUUUGUGAACCAGUUCCUGAAAUUGACAAUAUAGAACCAAGUAGCAAUAAAGAUGAUGAUUUUCUUGAAAAAAAUGGAGCUGAUGAAAAAUUAGAGCAAAUUCAGAGUAAAGACUCAUUGGAUGAGAAAAAUAAAACUGAUAAUAAUAUUGAUGCUAAUGAAGAAACUCUAGAAACAGAUGAUACAACUAUUUGUUCAGAUCGACCUCCUGAAAAUGAAAAGAAGGUAGAGGAAGAUACUAUCACAGAGCUUGCUCUUGGAGAAGAUGCUAUAUCUAGCAGUAUGGAAAUUGACCAAGGUGAAAAGAAUGAAGAUGAAACUUCUGCAGAUCAUGUAGAAACGAUUAAUGAAAAUGUUAUUGAAGAUGACAAAAGUGAGAAUAUCUUAGAAAAUACAGACUCUAUGGAGACAGAUGAAAUCAUUCCUAUUUUGGAAAAGCUUGCACCUUCUGAGGAUGAACUUACUUGCUUUUCUAAAACAUCUCUCCUUCCAAUCGAUGAGACAAAUCCAGAUUUGGAAGAGAAAAUGGAAAGUUCUUUUGGUUCACCAUCUAAACAAGAAAGUAGUGAGAGUUUGCCAAAAGAAGCCUUUCUGGUCCUCUCUGAUGAAGAGGAUAUUUCGGGUGAAAAAGAUGAGUCUGAAGUUAUAUCGCAAAAUGAAACGUGCUCUCCAGAAGUAGAAAGUAAUGAAAAGGACAACAAACCUAAGGAAGAAGAGCAAGUAAUACAUGAAGAUGAUGAAAGACCUUCUGAGAAAAAUGAAUUUUCUAGACGAAAACGUUCUAAAUCAGAAGACAUGGACAAUGUACAGUCUAAACGUCGUCGAUAUAUGGAAGAAGAAUAUGAGGCAGAAUUUCAAGUAAAGAUUACAGCCAAAGGAGACAUUAACCAGAAACUUCAAAAGGUUAUACAGUGGUUGCUGGAAGAAAAAUUGUGUGCGCUGCAGUGUGCUGUAUUUGAUAAGACUUUGGCAGAAUUGAAAACACGAGUGGAAAAGAUUGAAUGUAACAAGAGGCAUAAAACAGUUCUCACUGAACUACAGGCCAAGAUAGCCAGGUUAACCAAACGCUUUGAAGCAGCCAAAGAAGAUCUUAAGAAAAGACAUGAACAUCCACCCAACCCACCAGUAUCACCAGGAAAAACUGUAAAUGAUGUCAACAGCAAUAAUAACAUGUCUUACAGUAUCUUCAACCAAUCUUGUCACUCCUCCAGCAGUUGUCAGUAGUCAACCUAAAUUGCAGACUCCAGUGACUUC